Molecule: non-coding RNA, 724 nt
Organism: Cricetulus griseus (Chinese hamster)
Lineage: Eukaryota; Metazoa; Chordata; Mammalia; Rodentia; Cricetidae
Source: RefSeq, a predicted model, not a curated record
AGCCACCCCCAUUUCCCAAGUGGGGAGCUCAUCACCUCCCAGGCUAUUGCACAAUGGUGUAGCAGCUCACACAGUCCCUGGGGCCCUGGGUGAGCUCACAGUCCACACUGUGUUGUAUAUCACUGGGCAAUGGCUUGGUGCCAGGUGCCCCAAACCUAGGAAAGCCCAGACUAUCAGAAGCCAUUUCCAGAGUAAGUGUGCUCACCAUGGAGAGGAUCCAGUGCUAAGGCAUUGAGCAAUGACAUCAAUGGGCAUAGGACUCAGAGCAAAAGCAAGCAGGCAAAGCAGGCUCAGAUGAAAACCUAAACACAGAGGAGGCGGCACUUGGGAGUGGAGCUUCUGUGGCCUGACCCCCAAUGGAAACAGCUGUAAAGGCAGGAAAUGCUGCCCAAUAGCAGUGAGAAGAGUCGACUCGGGUGACCUCAGAGGACACAAUGGAGGAGCAAAGUUGGAUCUGUACCACCAUUACCUAUUCCACAAAACCCAAGGAAAUGGUGAGAAGAAACAAUUUAUUUAUUUGUCUGAGAUGAGUCAGAGGGAGCAGGAAACAUAUGCCUAAAAGCCUUUCAUAUGUAACUGAAAAUAUAAAACAGUGAGACGUGUUUGAAUCUGGGGCCAUGUGGGUGAAAGUUUAGAUUAUGGGAGCCACUCAGCUUAUGAAGAAAUGAAGAGCAGAAGUGAAUUUAGAGGACAAAGGGCGAUGUAAGGUGGGUGUUUGGACAGA